Molecule: ribosomal RNA, 524 nt
Filed under: Trichoderma citrinoviride
Lineage: Eukaryota; Fungi; Ascomycota; Sordariomycetes; Hypocreales; Hypocreaceae
Description: SSU rRNA
Rfam family: Bacterial small subunit ribosomal RNA
Source: RNAcentral
GCCUAACGGCUGAACUGGCAACUUGGAGAAGUGGCAAGUCCUAUUUUGAUCAUAUCUUUGAAUAUGAUCUAUAGGAUUGUAUUAAAAUUGAAUAAAGCUUUGUUUAUAUAUUGAUAAUGACAGUAUAUAUAUCGUGUCUUGACUAAUUGCGUGCCAGCAGUCGCGGUAAUACGUAAGAGACUAGUGUUAUUCAUCUUAAUUAGGUUUAAAGGGUACCUAGACGGUCAAUAUAGCUUCUAAAAUGUUAGUACUUGACUAGAGUUUUAUGUAAGAGGGCAGUACUUGAGGAGGAGAGAUGAAAUUCUAUGAUACCAAAGGGACUCGGUAAAGGCGAAGGCAGCCUUCUAUGUAAAAACUGACGUUAAAGGACGAAGGCACAGAGCACAAACAGGAUUAGAUACCCAAGUAGUCUUUGCAGUAAAUGAUGAAUGCCAUAGGUUAGAUUAAGAUUUAAUAUUAUAAUUAUAAAUUAAAUAUUAAACAUUAUCUAGUCUAUAAAUGAAAGUAUAAGCAUUUCACCUCAA